UACGGGGGGGGCAAGCGUUGUUCGGAAUUACUGGGCGUAAAGGGUUCGUAGGUGGCUCGCUAAGUCAGACGUGAAAUCCCUCAGCUUAACUGGGGAACUGCGUCUGAGACUGAUGAGCUUGAGUGCAGGAGAGGAACGCGGAAUUCCAGGUGUAGCGGUGAAAUGCGUAGAUAUCUGGAGGAACACCGGUGGCGAAGGCGGCGUUCUGGACUGCAACUGACACUGAGGAACGGAAGCCAGGGGAGCAAACGGG
This 253-nucleotide ribosomal RNA is filed under the name uncultured bacterium. Its description in RNAcentral is "partial 16S ribosomal RNA". It matches the Rfam family "Bacterial small subunit ribosomal RNA", at positions 524 to 776 of the family's 1533-position model. The record is from RNAcentral.